GACGAACGCUGGCGGCGUGCUUAACACAUGCAAGUCGAACGGAAAGGCCCUGCUUUUGUGGGGUGCUCGAGUGGCGAACGGGUGAGUAACACGUGAGUAACCUGCCCUUGACUUUGGGAUAACUUCAGGAAACUGGGGCUAAUACCGGAUAGGAGCUCCUGCUGCAUGGUGGGGGUUGGAAAGUUUCGGCGGUUGGGGAUGGACUCGCGGCUUAUCAGCUUGUUGGUGGGGUAGUGGCUUACCAAGGCUUUGACGGGUAGCCGGCCUGAGAGGGUGACCGGCCACAUUGGGACUGAGAUACGGCCCAGACUCCUACGGGAGGCAGCAGUGGGGAAUAUUGCACAAUGGGCGGAAGCCUGAUGCAGCAACGCCGCGUGCGGGAUGACGGCCUUCGGGUUGUAAACCGCUUUCGCCUGUGACGAAGCGUGAGUGACGGUAAUGGGUAAAGAAGCACCGGCUAACUACGUGCCAGCAGCCGCGGUGAUACGUAGGGUGCGAGCGUUGUCCGGAUUUAUUGGGCGUAAAGGGCUCGUAGGUGGUUGAUCGCGUCGGAAGUGUAAUCUUGGGGCUUAACCCUGAGCGUGCUUUCGAUACGGGUUGACUUGAGGAAGGUAGGGGAGAAUGGAAUUCCUGGUAGAGCGGUGGAAUGCGCAGAUAUCAGGAGGAACACCAGUGGCGAAGGCGGUUCUCUGGGCCUUUCCUGACGCUGAGGAGCGAAAGCGUGGGGAGCGAACAGGCUUAGAUACCCUGGUAGUCCACGCUGUAAACGGUGGGUACUAGGUGUGGGGUCCAUUCCACGGGUUCCGUGCCGUAGCUAACGCUUUAAGUACCCCGCCUGGGGAGUACGGCCGCAAGGCUAAAACUCAAAGGAAUUGACGGGGCCCCGCACAAGCGGCGGAGCAUGCGGAUUAAUUCGAUGCAACGCGUAGAACCUUACCUGGGUUUGACAUGGAUCGGGAGUGCUCAGAGAUGGGUGUGCCUCUUUUGGGGUCGGUUCACAGGUGGUGCAUGGCUGUCGUCAGCUCGUGUCGUGAGAUGUUGGGUUAAGUCCCGCAACGAGCGCAACCCUUGUUCACUGUUGCCAGCACGUUAUGGUGGGGACUCAGUGGAGACCGCCGGGGUCAACUCGGAGGAAGGUGGGGAUGACGUCAAGUCAUCAUGCCCCUUAUGUCCAGGGCUUCACGCAUGCUACAAUGGCUGGUACAGAGAGUGGCGAGCCUGUGAGGGUGAGCGAAUCUCGGAAAGCCGGUCUCAGUUCGGAUUGGGGUCUGCAACUCGACCUCAUGAAGUCGGAGUCGCUAGUAAUCGCAGAUCAGCAACGCUGCGGUGAAUACGUUCCCGGG
RNAcentral lists this ribosomal RNA (1343 nucleotides) under uncultured bacterium. RNAcentral's name for it is "16S ribosomal RNA". It matches the Rfam family "Bacterial small subunit ribosomal RNA", at positions 28 to 1378 of the family's 1533-position model. The record is from RNAcentral.